Molecule: long non-coding RNA, 577 nt
Filed under: Mytilus galloprovincialis (Mediterranean mussel)
Lineage: Eukaryota; Metazoa; Mollusca; Bivalvia; Mytilida; Mytilidae
Source: RNAcentral
GGUAUUCCAAAGACGUUCUGACCUUAAAUUUUCUUUUUCUGAAAUUUGGGCGGCAUACAGGGAAGGAUUUGGGAACAGUAGUGAAACACAUUGGCUAGGUAAUAAUGUAACAACUACUUUUAAAAUCAGGUGGACGAAUGUUUUGGUCACAUCUCGUCAGUUUUCAAUUAAUAUUAAGCUAUUAAAAUGCCGAUUUCAAAAGUCAUUUGAAUGAAAUAAAAAUUACAAGUUUGUCAACUAACCUGAUUUUUAAAUGAAAUAUCAAGCACUCGAAACAGAAUAAUUUACGCCAAAAAUUUCCAUUACAAACUUGAGAGGUUAAAUCUUAUUAUUCUUAUUCCCCCCCCCCCCCCAAGAUUUUUUGGAUAUUUGUUUAUAAUUCUAUAUCUACCCCUCCUUUGUUCAAUAUAUAUUUUUUAACAUUUCACACAUAAUUUCAAAAAUUUGAUAUAUCUUUUUUUCACAGGCACCGAUUAUAUACAUGGAAUAUCGACAUCGGGACGGCAUAGGGCACAUUUUAUUCUUGAGAAAGAUUGAAUAAAAAAAUAGGCAGAUUACUUUAAUUUCCGAGUAGGAG